AUUAUAUAUAGAAUAUAUUCUAUGUCAGUAUUCUAUAUAAAUAUUUAUUUUGUAUAAUUAUAUUAUAGAUUUUCUUUCCUUUUCUGGUCUGUCCUAUUUGCUUUUCCCAAUCAUCAAUUUAGAUCCACAGUAUGUAUUACCUCAUUUUAAAAAGGACAAAUCCUGAUGAAGGCUAGUUUCUAGCUUUACAAAAGGUUCCAUUUUUAUGUUGCGUCACAUUCUCCACUGGCAAAUUUUGAAACUUGAAUUCUUAUUCUCUAGCUUUCCCAUGUUCAUACUUACACCUGUAGUAAUAUACCCUAUCAUUUCUCUUGACCUUUUGGCUACAAUCUUGCUAAUACAGCCUGGGAUGCUUUUGGCUGCCUUUGCUGCAAGGAGCUACUGCUGACUCAUGUUUGACUCAUUGGUCACUAAGACUACCAAGUCCUUUUCUGCACAUUGGAAAUUUAUUCAGAACCUGAUACAUCCCAAAUAUGCUUACUUGUUUGCGUUUGAAUUUUAGAAAUGCCAAGCACCUACAACGUCCAUUGACUUCAAAUGGCCUUCUAAAAGUUGUUCCAGAAAGUCAGGCCCUAAAUUUUUACAAUCCUUAUCAGUCAGUAGGAGAAAGACAGAAAGUUGACAUCCAAUAAAGCAAGAUAGGAACUAAGACUACAGAAGUGACUCUUCAUUUAAAACUCCAAGGAUCUCUACUUUCAACCGUCAUAAUGUCUAAAGUCUUUAUUCACCAACGUGUCCCCUUUCCAUGGGCAUGUGAGAAUUCUUCAUCUGUGCACAUGCAAUGAAAAUAAAAUAAAGAGGCUUCUUGAAGGCCUGGAAACUGCAGGAACCAGUAGAGGUAGAAAUUUGGAUUGUUUGUAAUAUUUAGUUAUCAAUUUCAGGACUUAUUAGUAGAGAAUUUUGUUGGUCAUACAACCUCAGAAAAACUGCUAAACAUCAAAACGAGCUGCAGCUAUGUUAAACAUUGUCAUAUCUUUAAGCUUCUUAACUUUUCUGCUACCUAGCAGGUAAGGUGUGCCAUAGGUGAAAUCACAUGCAAGGCUACACAUUCUUUAUUGGAUCAUGUAAUAGGGAAGCAUCAUGGGAUGACAGAGUAGCAGGGAGUCUGUGGGCACCGGUGACACUGCUUGUUGUGCAUGUCACUUCAAAGACACAUAUACUGCUCUGCUGCAUUAGGGCAGUGCAAGAGUUGCCAGAGAAUUAUCUAUGAGGGCUAAGUGAGUGAGCCAAGUGCAAGUGUGCAAGGGAUGUGCAAGACUUGACUGGUCUUUAUGUUUAAAGGCAUACUCUUUCCUAACUUUUACUUGCUUCCUCGCAGAUAAACUUAGACCUUACAAACAGGACUAUGUGGUUGGGGGAGAGUGAGGAAAAACUGCAAUGUCUUUCCUUCUUUUUCAGUGUUCAAAAGGGAGGAUUUAAUCCUUCCACAAUGAACUACAGAAUGAGGCAGAUCAUGCAGUGAUAAAGUUUGAGUUUAGAAAUCCUUUAUCAUCUGUUUAUGUUAGGUACUCUAUAAAAAGCGUAUCACCAUGGUAUCCAAGCUCUUUCCAAUUAAAGAAAACGAUUUCUACCAUUUACUUAGCAACUUUGACAAUAGCCUUCAGCAGCAUGGAACAACUUGACUGCCUAGCAUUUUACAAGAUAAAUUCUUCACUACUGUCUGUUUUUUCUUGCACUGCUGCUUGCAAAGCCUUAAAAAGUUACUGCUGCUUCAACCACCGAGGCUGGUACCAUUGCACUCACUUGAGCUAUGGAUCACUGGGUACACUUUGUACCUUUACAUGCCACUUUGAGAAAAAUCAAUUUCAGUCUUGAAGAGAUGAAAUUAGUGUUGCAGAAGAUCAGUGCACAUUUCCAGGUGCUUUAGGGCACUGGCGUCUUGAUGGGAAUUCAACAAAACAUGACCUAGGUAUGGAACAAAAUUGCUUACUUUUAUGCUAAGAGAUCUUCUGAAAACAUUACAGAGUAAAUCAGAAUACUGUGAAGAAGGGAAAGUCAAACUAGCUACAGUAAAUACUUGUAUAGUAUUCAUAAUACUAACAUCAAAAUAUACUUUAUGUUACUAACUGUAAGUUACUAUAGGCCAAUAUGUUGUAGGUAUGAUAGAAAAAGAAGAUAAAAAUAAUAUAUAGGUAAAAAUAACAUAACUGAGGCUGAGGAAAAAAAUAGUUUGUGCUUAAAAACUGGCAAAAGUGUUCAAAAGAGUUCUGUCCAGCCAGAGCUUGGUUGUUACCUAUCUUGGAGAUAAUGUCAAAACAGCUGUACAACUGUCUAUCUUUUUCUUCAUUUAUUUUUAAACCUUUGCACUGGCCACGUAAGUCUUCAAAACUUCAGAAAUGGAUCCUAUUAUUUCUUUUGCCUUCUAUAUUUAUAUUCAUAUAAGAAAUUUCAUUUUUAAUUUUGUUUGUAGUUUAGAAAUAUGUAUACUCUCUCCUGUUUUGAAGGACUUGGAUUGCACUUCCAUGGGAUAUUAAUUGUGGUUUCAGUGAGCACAGACUAGAAAUGCUGAGUCCGGAUGAAACAUUCUGUUGAACUUGUAUAAAUAUGCUCUGCCAGAUUGUAUUUAUUAACAUUUUUGAAGGAGUAACUUUGCCUCAGAAGAGUUUUUGCUAGAUCAACUAUCCUCUGUCCGUGAAUAUCUAAUGUAAUACUAGGUCAGGUGUUGCCUGUUUUCCUGAAGCUGAUGUAAGUCAUUUCUGGUAUAACAAAUAAACCAGUAUAUAUAUUCUGUUCUGCACUUGGCUAUCCUGAUGGAUACAUGCAAAUAUAUUGUUCUCUCUAGAGUCAUACCAGCUGAAGCAGUUGCUGCUCCCCUAGCCCAUCUUCUUCUUCACGUCAGUGCUCCCUGUAGAAGAAAGUCUUUAGCAGUGCUGAACCGAAGCACAGAUGACAGAAUAGCUCUGUAACCACAGAAGAGUUCUGACAGAUGUUCUCUAGCAAAACUUGCUGCAACAGUUGGAGAUGGCAUUACCCCAGCUGUCUGUUCCUCCUCUCUGCUGAGAGCAGAGCUGGUUGAAGAUUCAAACCCACUGUACAGCAGUGCUCUCACCUUCCAUUACCUACCACAGUGUGAUCCCAUUGGAAGUGCACAAGGAAGGUCAAGUGGCCUGUUCCCUUUUAUCUGCAGAAAACUGGGACCAGUUGUUGGACAAGAGCUGAAUACCUCUUCCUUCAGCUAUAAAUGGCCUAGUCAGAAAAUCAAGCACUACCAUGGGUACAGAAAAAGGACAAACUUUCCUGGAAGGAUAUGGUACAAACGCUAAGAGUCUUCUUCAGAAACUAAUGAAACUUUGCAAAGCAUCCGAGAUAGACAUAUUUUUGCCUACAGCAUUCAAAAGGCAGAAACUGAAGCAGAGAAGAACUCACAACUGUUCAAAAAGUGGAUGCAUAUGGUCCUCAACAAAUCUUGUAAUACAGUGGAGGAAAACAGUUGUGAUCCCAAAAUUGCUUCUUUUUAUUGUUGUUCACCUUGCAAAGUUUCCUAUAUGAGCUUCAGGCUUUGAUUUUGACCAGAAAGCUUUAGCACCCAUAUCCCUGAGACACUGACUUUCUCCGGUUAAUAACUAUAGCAGCAGUGUGGAAGCUGAGAAAACUAUCACUCCCUACGCUUCACAGAGGAAAGGAACUAUUAGGUAUGUUCUUUCAAAGAAGUGGAUUGUUCUCUCAUACGUUAUUCUGAAAUUUUGCAAAGAAUUUGGUUAUGUGAAAUCGUAUUUCCAGAGUUUUCUGAUUCAUAAAACCAUGCCUUCUAUUUUACGUGAUCUUAAUCUAAAACCAACAAUCUGCAGAACUGUCAUGAAAUAUGCAAUGAUAAGCAAUAAGAGCCUAUUGCUUAUCCACUUAUUAAACACAGAACUUGCCAGCUACUAAGUAAGAGAAUAUGUGCAAAAAUGCCUCUUGACUGUUGGCCAUGGUCAGCAUUUGGAUGCAUUAUUUCCUAAGGUUGU
Long non-coding RNA from Dromaius novaehollandiae (emu), 3947 nucleotides. RefSeq lists it as uncharacterized. The record is from RefSeq and is a predicted model, not a curated record. The transcript is spliced from 7 exons. NCBI's taxonomy places the organism in Eukaryota, Metazoa, Chordata, Aves, Casuariiformes, Dromaiidae.